RNAcentral lists this ribosomal RNA (593 nucleotides) under Cryptococcus sp. BG02-5-23-001-C2. Its description in RNAcentral is "eukaryotic LSU rRNA". It matches the Rfam family "Eukaryotic large subunit ribosomal RNA", at positions 40 to 637 of the family's 3401-position model. The record is from RNAcentral. Lineage: Eukaryota; Fungi; Basidiomycota; Tremellomycetes; Tremellales; Cryptococcaceae. RNAcentral also lists the same sequence under 1 other name.
AUAUCAAUAAGCGGAGGAAAAGAAACUAACAAGGAUUCCCCUAGUAACGGCGAGUGAAGCGGGAAGAGCUCAAAUUUGAAAUCUAGUAGCCUUCGGCUGCUCGAGUUGUAAUCUAGAGAAGUGUUUUCCGUGCCGGCCCAUGUACAAGUCCCUUGGAACAGGGCGUCAUAGAGGGUGAGAAUCCCGUCCUUGACAUGGACCCCCGGUGCUCUGUGAUACACUUUCAACGAGUCGAGUUGUUUGGGAAUGCAGCUCAAAAUGGGUGGUGAAUUCCAUCUAAAGCUAAAUAUUGGCGAGAGACCGAUAGCGAACAAGUACCGUGAGGGAAAGAUGAAAAGCACUUUGGAAAGAGAGUUAAACAGUACGUGAAAUUGUUGAAAGGGAAACGAUUGAAGUCAGUCAUGCUCUUUGGUAUUUAUAUCAUUGAGUGGGGUCAACAUCAGUUUUGAGCGAUGGAUAAAGGCACUAGGAAGGUAGCACUCUCGGGUGAACUUAUAGCCUAGCGUCAUAUACAUUGUUUGGGACUGAGGAACGCAGCAUGCCUUUAUGGCCGGGAUUCGUCCACGUACAUGCUUAGGAUGUUGACAUAAUGG